CUUGCGGCCAUAUCAUGUUGAAACUCCUGUUCCCGUACGAUCACCGAAGUUAAGCAACGUCGAAGCUUGUCAGUACCUAGAUGGGUGACCGUUUGAGAAUGUCACGUGCUGU
Molecule: ribosomal RNA, 112 nt
Filed under: Acanthosepion pharaonis
Lineage: Eukaryota; Metazoa; Mollusca; Cephalopoda; Sepiida; Sepiidae
Source: RNAcentral